AGAAACCCAGGAAAUCCCAUUUGAAGGGACUCAUAAUCCUUUGGUCGUUGGUUCAAGUCCAACACGCCCUACCA
This 74-nucleotide transfer RNA is filed under the name Acidovorax delafieldii. RNAcentral describes it as "tRNA-Met". Lineage: Bacteria; Pseudomonadati; Pseudomonadota; Betaproteobacteria; Burkholderiales; Comamonadaceae. The record is from RNAcentral.